CCAGGACCAAGGUCAGCAGCAGGCGCGAAAAUUAUCGAAGCCCGCCUAGGGGCGAUAGUGAGGAGACGUGUAUAACGAAGUACGUGUAAAGAACGUACUAAUAACUGGAGGUCAAGUCUGGUGCCAGCAUCCGCGGUAAUUCCAGCUCCAGGGGUGUCUAUGAUGAUUGCUGCGAUUAAAAAGUCCGUAGUCAAACUGACUGACUGACCUGCAAUGUGAUUGAUUAAAGAACGAGCAGGGUUAGGAAAGCAGAGAAUUAGGAGCGACCGAGGGCUAGAGUAUUGAAUGGCGAGAGGUGAAAUUUGAUGACCCAUUCAGGAGUGACAAAGGCGAAGGCACUAGUCAAGGGCGAAUCCGAUGAUCAAGGACGUAGGCUAGAGUUUCGAAAACGAUUAGAGACCGGAGUAGUUCUAGCAGUAAACUAUGCCGACGCCGUGAUAUUGUUUUUUGUGGCAGUAUUGCGGAAGAGAAAUCAAGUAAGGCUUUGGGGAGAGUACGCGCGCAAGCGAUAAAUU
Molecule: ribosomal RNA, 515 nt
Filed under: Dictyocoela muelleri
Lineage: Eukaryota; Fungi; Microsporidia
Description: partial small subunit ribosomal RNA
Rfam family: Microsporidia small subunit ribosomal RNA
Source: RNAcentral